GAUGUUGGGUUAAGUCCCGCAACGAGCGCAACCCUCGUCCUCUGUUGCCAUCAGGUCAAGCUGGGCACUCUGAGGAGACUGCCGGUGAUAAACCGGAGGAAGGUGGGGAUGACGUCAAGUCAGCAUGGCCUUUAUGUCCAGGGCCACACACGUGCUACAAUGGCGGAUACAAAGCGUCGCAAACCCGCGAGGGUGAGCUAAUCGCAGAAAGUCCGUCUCAGUUCGGAUUGUAGGCUGCAACUCGCCUGCAUGAAGUCGGAAUCGCUAGUAAUCGCGGAUCAGCAUGCCGCGGUGAAUACGUUCCCGGGCCUUGUACACACCGCCCGUCACAUCACGAAAGCUGGCUGUACUAGAAGUAGCUUCGCCAACCCGCAAGGGGGCUGGUUCCUAAGGUAUGGUCAGUGAUUGGGGUGAAGUCGUAACAAGGUAA
RNAcentral lists this ribosomal RNA (430 nucleotides) under uncultured bacterium. RNAcentral's name for it is "bacterial SSU rRNA". It matches the Rfam family "Bacterial small subunit ribosomal RNA", at positions 1071 to 1499 of the family's 1533-position model. The record is from RNAcentral.